AUGGGGGCCAGCAGUUCAGCCAAAGAUGAGUUUAGAUGAAAUGCCAGAUAGAUGUCAAUUCUGAAGCGCAGAGAUCUGGACUGCAGGUAAGAAUGAAAUCGCUGGUGUGUAGAUGGUGUUUACUACUGUGACAUGGUUAAAUCUAGAAAAUAAGGGUAGAGAAGAAAUGGGGCUAGUACAGUUAGAAACAAAGGCACUGAGUGAGUCACUCUCUUUCCCCAUCUAACCCUAAACACCACCCAAUAGUUAUUCCUGCUUCCAUCAUCCUGAGAGAUUAAAUAAAUAAAUAAAUAAAAGCCUGAAUUGAUGAGAUCACAGGCACCAGAGCACUGGCACCAUGGGAGAUUCAGUGGGAGGCAUCAGAAAGCAGAGAUAUCUAUCUUUUAAAUUCUGAAAACUUGAGUUAUCAGCCCCUUUUCUCCUUUUUCCUGUUGCUGUUGCUACCUUUCCCAUGACCUUCAAUAAACAUAGCUCCUUACUACUUGGCAAUUCUUUCUUCACUGUACACAAGCACUAUUAUUGGUCCAUUCAACUGUAACAUCUGGCAAGCCAGGCAGGAGGACAUCAAACCUCGGAAGACCUCACUGGACAAAGAGUGAAGGGACAUUAUUGUACAGCAGUCCAUGACCUCACCAGACAUUGGAAGGAUCAGCAGCUCAGACCUUCGGAGAUAGCAGAAGUGAGCAACCAGCAACCCAGGCAGCAAGGAAGAAAUUCAGAUAAUUUAGAAACAUGUACCUGAGGUCCUGAGCAGAGCAAAGGGAACAACCAAUGAAGGUGAACUCAACCAACUACUCCAUGAUGUGGCAUGGGAAAUAUCCUGCAGAUCCCGCCAACCUCACCAUUAGGCUGAAUCCUAAUGUAUCCUUAAAAACCAAAAACAAUUUAAUCCUGAGAAUCUGAGGGAAAACCCCACAUUUAUUUUCUGAUGCAAUGCUGUUUGGAUUCAGUAUGAACUAGGAAAUGGUGAGAGAUGGAUACAGAAUGGCAGUCUAAAUUACUAUUCUUCUAGGUGAGCUGGUCCCAGCACCCGGAAGGAAGCUCCCCUGCUGUCAUCCCAAGCUCCUAGGGCACAGAAGUUGAGCCGCGUGGGCGCCAGAAGCCCCCCCCCCCCCCGCAGAAAUGAG
Heterocephalus glaber (naked mole-rat) is the source of this 1127-nucleotide long non-coding RNA. The record is from Ensembl. Lineage: Eukaryota; Metazoa; Chordata; Mammalia; Rodentia; Bathyergidae.